Molecule: long non-coding RNA, 751 nt
Organism: Haliotis rubra (blacklip abalone)
Lineage: Eukaryota; Metazoa; Mollusca; Gastropoda; Lepetellida; Haliotidae
Exons: 2
Source: RefSeq, a predicted model, not a curated record
CUGUCAUAUCACAGAGCAGGAGCAGGGAACAGUUCUAGGCCAGAAUCUCUAAAGAUCCAGGCUAUUACAGGACAUAUCAUACAAAACACUCACGUAUGAUGAUGGCAAUUUAUUCAGCAAAGACAUGUUUCUAAUGCUGUUACACAGAUUAUCACAGUCUGCAAUCGACUGAGGUAGAACAAUGUAGACACCCCCCGCUGCAAACAGUUUCACCAACCACAUCACAACAUCCACAGUUGGAAGUCUGGCCAUUAUAAUAGUUAUCUACUGGUCAUCCCAAAUCUUACUCAUCACUUUCACAAAUUCAAAACGGGUAGAUGACUGCACCAUUUGGAUAUACUGUACCUUUAACUACAGUAUUUAGGAAUAAAGGCUGUAGGAUGAUGCAGUUACCAAACUGGGUAGAUGACUGCACCAUUUGGAUAUACUGUGCCUUUAACUAUUUAGGGAUAAUGGCUGUAGGAUGAUGCAGUUACCAAACGGGUAGAUGACUGCACCAUUUGGAUAUACUGUACCUUUAACUAUUUAGGGAUAAUGGCUGUAGGAUGAUGCAGUUACCAAACUGGUAGAUGACUGCACCAUUUGGAUAUACUGUACCUUUAACUAUUUAGGGAUAAUGGCUGUAGGAUGAUGCAGUUACCAAACGGGUAGAUGACUGCACCAUUUGGAUAUACUGUGCCUUUAACUAUUUAGGGAUAAUGGCUGUAGGAUGAUGCAGUUACCAAACGGGUAGAUGACUGCACCAUUUGGA